AACGAACGCUGGCGGCAGGCUUAACACAUGCAAGUCGAACGCCCUAGCAAUAGGGAGUGGCGCACGGGUGAGUAACGCGUGGGAAUGUACCGUUUAGUGGGGGAUAACCAAAGGAAACUUUGGCUAAUACCGCAUACGCCCUUCGGGGGAAAGAUUUAUCGCUAAACGAGCAGCCCGCGUGAGAUUAGGUAGUUGGUGGGGUAACGGCCUACCAAGCCGACGAUCUCUAGCUGGUCUGAGAGGAUGAUCAGCCACACUGGAACUGAGACACGGUCCAGACUCCUACGGGAGGCAGCAGUGGGGAAUAUUAGACAAUGGGGGCAACCCUGAUCCAGCCAUGCCGCGUGAGUGAUGAAGGCCUUAGGGUUGUAAAGCUCUUUUACCGAUGAAGAUAAUGACGGUAGUCGGAGAAAAAGCCCCGGCUAACUUCGUGCCAGCCGCCGCGGUAA
RNAcentral lists this ribosomal RNA (449 nucleotides) under uncultured bacterium. Its description in RNAcentral is "partial 16S ribosomal RNA". It matches the Rfam family "Bacterial small subunit ribosomal RNA", at positions 29 to 523 of the family's 1533-position model. The record is from RNAcentral.